This 240-nucleotide unclassified non-coding RNA is filed under the name soil metagenome. RNAcentral describes it as "partial contains 5.8S ribosomal RNA, internal transcribed spacer 2, and large subunit ribosomal RNA". The record is from RNAcentral.
AACAUCGCGCACCUGCGGGAACCUGCGGAGGGAUCAUUACAGAGUUGCAAAACUCCCUAAACCAUUGUGAACGUUACCUAAACCGUUGCUUCGGCGGGCGGCCCGGGUCCUUCCCGGCGCCCCUCGGCCCUCGCGGGCGGCCGCCGGAGGUAAACCAAACUAUUGCAUUGUAUGGCCUCUCUGAGUCUUCUGUACUGAAUAAGUCAAAACUUUCAACAACGGAUCUCAGAUCGGAAGAGC